Molecule: ribosomal RNA, 550 nt
Filed under: Cladosporium sp. C3
Lineage: Eukaryota; Fungi; Ascomycota; Dothideomycetes; Cladosporiales; Cladosporiaceae
Description: eukaryotic LSU rRNA
Rfam family: 5.8S ribosomal RNA (bases 185-338)
Source: RNAcentral
CUGUAGCUGAAUGAGGCAGGGAUCAUUACAAGUGACCCCGGUCUAACCACCGGGAUGUUCAUAACCCUUUGUUGUCCGACUCUGUUGCCUCCGGGGCGACCCUGCCUUCGGGCGGGGGCUCCGGGUGGACACUUCAAACUCUUGCGUAACUUUGCAGUCUGAGUGAACUUAAUUAAUAAAUUAAAACUUUUAACAACGGAUCUCUUGGUUCUGGCAUCGAUGAAGAACGCAGCGAAAUGCGAUAAGUAAUGUGAAUUGCAGAAUUCAGUGAAUCAUCGAAUCUUUGAACGCACAUUGCGCCCCCUGGUAUUCCGGGGGGCAUGCCUGUUCGAGCGUCAUUUCACCACUCAAGCCUCGCUUGGUAUUGGGCAACGCGGUCCGCCGCGUGCCUCAAAUCGACCGGCUGGGUCUUCUGUCCCCUAAGCGUUGUGGAAACUAUUCGCUAAAGGGUGCUCGGGAGGCUACGCCGUAAAACAAACCCAUUUCUAAGGUUGACCUCGGAUCAGGUAGGGAUACCCGCUGAACUUAAGCAUAUCAAUAAGACGGAAGA